UCGCGGCCCCGCCGGCUCAGGGGCGGCGCGCUUUCGGUGCGGACGGUGAAAACGUUGAAAGGUUCCUCUCCGGUUACCCCCGUCACGCCGUCGCGCCCUUGAUGUGAUGAUAGGCCCUGAACUUUGGAUGUGAGGAGCCGGUGCUGUUCUCAUUCCUGCGCACCGUACAGGCCACACCUGAAGCUUGUUUAGAGAGGCCUGGGUCCACGCCGCCUGCAGAACUCUCCACCUGGUUCGACAGCCUGACAACGCGGCUUGAACCUUGCAGCAGCCCAUAGGCCCCAUUGUUUCUCUUCCGGAGCUCAGCUGGAUGGAUCUCUUCAUUUUAGCCUGGGAGGCUUGUGACUAACAGCUGCCUUUUCUUAAAAAACUACCAGUCAUUAAGUGCCAUCGUCCAGAGGAAUUAAUUCUAGCCUCCGCAUCCCUUCAAACCUCUUCAAGCGCCCCUGCAUAAUUUUUUAUAUUACUAUAGUUUUCCCAUCAAAGACUUGGUAACUCUCAGGGGGACUGUGGACCACACUUUGGACAAUUAGUGUUGUACAACAUUUUUACUGGCUGCAGACUAUUAUGUUGUAUGGGUAAACAGUAUAUUUGGCCAAUGUUCUUUAUUGUUGGGCAUUUAAAUUGUUUCCAAGUUUCCUCCAUUACCAAUAAUCAUGUAGUUAAGACUUUGCUUGCAUUCUGAAUUAUUUUUCCAGGAUAAAGUCUUAAAAAAUGGAAUUGCUGACCAAAGAAUAUGCAUUUUUUUAAAGAGCUUUCUGAAUGUUGCCACAUUGCUUUCCAAGAGGUUUACCAAUUUACACUUGCAUUUUGCAUAAUAUGAUUAUCCUUCCAGGUUCUCACCAACGCUGAUUUUCUUUCUUUAAAAAACUUGCCAAAUUUACAAGCAAUAAAUGGUAUCACAUUUUG
Lemur catta (Ring-tailed lemur) is the source of this 909-nucleotide long non-coding RNA. RefSeq lists it as uncharacterized. The record is from RefSeq and is a predicted model, not a curated record. Lineage: Eukaryota; Metazoa; Chordata; Mammalia; Primates; Lemuridae. The transcript is spliced from 2 exons.